UGACAUCGCAGGGGAUGCAGGGAAACGCUGCCCGAGGUGUGCGGGAUGCCAUCGCCGUUGCCAGGGAAACAGCAGGCGACAUCCUGCAGAGCCAGUCCCAGUCAGCUCCUGCCUUUCACCUGUGAACUCCACUGCCACACACACCUUCACCACCCAGCACCAACCCAACAAGACCCGAAAUGAAUCCCUGCGACAGAACAGAGCCGAUUUUAACAACCAGCGCCAUCACUGCGUUACACCUCGGCAAGGGUGUGAGCAGAAACCCUGAAGAAGAGACUCCUUGUCUUGGCUUUUUUGUUUUCCCUCCAGCUUACAGGUAAUAGCCAGGAAUGGGCAAACCCUCUUUUAAUGGACUCUUAAUAAUGCUGUAAUUUCCCUUUGCACGGAAAGUUUUCCAAACAGUCAAAGAUUCAAAACAAA
Long non-coding RNA from Corvus hawaiiensis (hawaiian crow), 420 nucleotides. RefSeq lists it as uncharacterized. The record is from RefSeq and is a predicted model, not a curated record. The transcript has 2 exons. NCBI's taxonomy places the organism in Eukaryota, Metazoa, Chordata, Aves, Passeriformes, Corvidae.